ACGUGCACCUCUCGCCAAGACGCAUACAAUCUCCGGGUCCUCGUCGCCCAUUAGCCACCACAGCGCCGUCCCCGCUUGGACAUCCUGUGCGUCGGCCGCCUCCUCCGAUUCCGGCAGCCACGUUUGUCCCCCGCCCCUGGCCCUCCGAGAAGGUGGCGUUAGCGGCGGGUGCGGCGGCCCUGUUCGCGACGGCGUCCGCGCCGGCGGCGGGACGCGCCUGCUCGCGACGCCGUCCGCGCGCCGAGGCCUAGCACCACGCCCCUGUCACCGCGACGGCAUCCACGUGCUCCGGCCAUGGGCCCUGCUCGCGACGGCGUCCGCGCCGGCAGCGGGGCGCGUCUGCUCGCGACUGCAUCCGCGUGCUCCGCCCCAGCGCAGGCGGCCCGGCUGCUUCGCGCGCUGCCUCGCCACGACAUGCGCUCCAUGUUUCUCGCGCGCGGAGGCCACGUCGCUCGUCCCUGCGUUGGAGGCGGCGCCAUUCUUCCCCACGGGGGCCACGUUCUGCCUUCUCCAACGCCGGCCGGUCCGUGGAAGAGAUGGCGUCACUGACUUAACUGACAGAACUGACAGAGUGCUACAUUUGGGUAACGUUGGAGCUUUUUAGUGAUAUUUUACGGUGCCAGAUGGUUUUAGUGGUAUUUUACUAAAGUCAUCGUCUUUUGAUGCUACACAGCCAAUUUUCCCAUAAGAAAAAUCCACGGGAUAAGAUGGAGAGGGUUUCAUAUGUUGGCGACGCCGACCGAUGGGCUCGACACUUAUGUCAACUUUGGAAAAACUCCGUAAGAUGGAGAGGGUUUCAUAUGUUGGCGACGCCGACCGAUAGGCUCGACACUUAUGUCAACUUUG
Molecule: long non-coding RNA, 846 nt
Organism: Panicum virgatum (switchgrass)
Lineage: Eukaryota; Viridiplantae; Streptophyta; Magnoliopsida; Poales; Poaceae
Exons: 2
Source: RefSeq, a predicted model, not a curated record